RNAcentral lists this ribosomal RNA (496 nucleotides) under uncultured bacterium. RNAcentral's name for it is "partial 16S ribosomal RNA". It matches the Rfam family "Bacterial small subunit ribosomal RNA", at positions 28 to 507 of the family's 1533-position model. The record is from RNAcentral.
GAUGAACGCUGGCGGCGUGCCUAAUACAUGCAAGUCGAGCGAACGGACGAGAAGCUUGCUUCUCUGAUGUUAGCGGCGACGGGUGAGUAACACGUGGAUAACCUACCUAUAAGACUGGGAUAACUUCGGGAAACCGGAGCUAAUACCGGAUGAUAUUUUGAACCGCAUGGUUCAAAAGUGAAAGACGGUCUUGCUGUCACUUAUAGAUGGAUCCGCGCUGCAUUAGCUAGUUGGUAAGGUAACGGCUUACCAAGGCAACGAUGCAUAGCCGACCUGAGAGGGUGAUCGGCCACACUGGAACUGAGACACGGUCCAGACUCCUACGGGAGGCAGCAGUAGGGAAUCUUCCGCAAUGGGCGAAAGCCUGACGGAGCAACGCCGCGUGAGUGAUGAAGGUCUUCGGAUCGUAAAACUCUGUUAUUAGGGAAGAACAUAUGUGUAAGUAACUGUGCACAUCUUGACGGUACCUAAUCAGAAAGCCACGGCUAACUACGUG